AUGGCCGGCGAUGAUGAGCAGCGGCCGCUGCACAUCCUCUUCUUCCCGUUUCCCGCUCCCGGCCACCUCAUCCCGAUCGCUGACAUGGCGGCGCUCUUCGCGACUCGCGGCGCGAAGUGCACAAUCCUCACCACGCCGGUCAACGCUGCCACCAUCCGCCCGGCCGUCGACCGUGCCAACGACGCUCGCCGUGGAACUCCGGAUUCCCCGCCCCCGUCGGCGAUCGAGAUCUCCGUCGUGCCCUUCCCUGACGUUGGGCUCCCGCCGGGCGUCGAGAACGCCACGGGCCUUAGCGGCGACGCCGACCGCGACAAGUUCUUUCACGCGAUCCAGCAGUUCCGCGAGCCCUUCGAGCAGUUCUUUGCCGGCGAAUGCCCUGACGCCGUCGUCGCCGACAGCCACUUCCAGUGGUCCGUCGACGCUGCCGCGGAGCACGGCGUCCCGCGGCUGGCGUUCCUCGGCACCAGCAUGUUCGCGCGGGCCUGCACCGACAGCAUGCUGCGCAACAACCCGCUGGCGUCUUGCCCCGACGCCGUCGUCUCCCUGCCGGGGCUGCCGCACCGCGUCGACAUGUUACGGAGCCAGAUGGUGGACCCCUCCAAGAGGCCGGAGAGUUUCGCCUUCUUCCAGCGCGUGAACGCCGAGGACCAGAGGAGCUACGGCGAGGUGUUCAACAGCUUCCACGAGCUGGAGCCGGACUACGUCGAGCACUACCGCACGGCGCUCGGCCGCCGCGUAUGGCUCGUCGGGCCGGUCGCACCAGCAGGCGGAGAUAUGGGCGCGACCAAAGGCGCCACCAGCGAGCUCUCGUCCGACGGCGCCGGCUGCCUGCGGUGGCUCGACACGAAACCGGCCGGCUCGGUGGUGUACGUCUCCUUCGGCACGCUGUCCAGUUUCUCGCCGGCCGAGCUGCGCGAGCUCGCCCGCGGCCUCGACCUCUCAGGGAAGAACUUCGUGUGGGUCAUCAGCCACGCAGGCGCAGGAGCAGACGCCGACACCGAUGCGCAACCGGAGUGGAUGCCCGAAGGCUUCGCCGAGCUUACCGCGCCGCCGGGCGGGCGCGGCUUCAUCAUCCGCGGCUGGGCGCCGCAAACGCUCAUCCUGAGCCACCCGGCCCUCGGCGCCUUCUUGACGCACUGCGGCUGGAACUCGACGCUGGAGGCCGUGAGCGCCGGCGUGCCGAUGGUCACGUGGCCGCGCUUCGGCGACCAGUUCUUCAACGAGAAGCUCGUCGUGGAGGUGCUCCAGGUCGGGGCCAGCGUCGGCGCCUGCGACUACGCGUCGUUCAUGGAGACCCAUCAUGGCGUGGUCCGCGCCGAGGUGGUCACUGAAUCCAUCGGGACUGUGAUGGGCGACGGCGAGGAGGGCGAGGCGAUACGGAGCAAGGCCAGGGAGCUCGGUGUCAAAGCUAGGAGGGCAGUGGGCAACGCCGGGUCGUCGUACGGCGAUGUUGGGCGGCUGAUGGAGGAGUUGAUUGCUCGCCGACGGACUUAA
This 1494-nucleotide ribosomal RNA is filed under the name Triticum aestivum (bread wheat). Its description in RNAcentral is "partial small subunit ribosomal RNA". The record is from RNAcentral. Lineage: Eukaryota; Viridiplantae; Streptophyta; Magnoliopsida; Poales; Poaceae.